CGAAGGAUGCAAGCGUUAUCCGGAUUCAUUGGGUUUAAAGGGUGCGUAGGCGGACUGAUAAGUCAGUGGUGAAAUCUCUUUGCUUAACAAAGAAACUGCCAUUGAUACUGUCGGUCUAGAGUAUAGAUGACGUUGGCGGAAUAUGACAUGUAGUGGUGAAAUACUUAGAUAUGUCAUAGAACACCGAUUGCGAAGGCAGCUAACGAAACUAUAACUGACGCUGAGGCACGAAAGUGCGGGGAUCAAACAGGAUUAGAUACCCUGGUAGUCCGCACCGUAAACAAUGAUUACUCGUUGUUGGCGAUAUGACAGUCAGCGACCAAGCGAAAGCGAUAAGUAAUCCACCUGGGGAGUACGCCGGCAACGGUG
RNAcentral lists this ribosomal RNA (369 nucleotides) under uncultured organism. RNAcentral's name for it is "bacterial SSU rRNA". It matches the Rfam family "Bacterial small subunit ribosomal RNA", at positions 526 to 896 of the family's 1533-position model. The record is from RNAcentral.